Molecule: ribosomal RNA, 458 nt
Filed under: uncultured bacterium
Lineage: Bacteria
Description: partial 16S ribosomal RNA
Rfam family: Bacterial small subunit ribosomal RNA
Source: RNAcentral
CCUACGGGAGGCAGCAGUGGGGAAUAUUGCACAAUGGGGGAAACCCUGAUGCAGCGACGCCGCGUGAGUGAAGAAGUAAUUCGUUACGUAAAGCUCUAUCAGCAGGGAAGAAAUACUGACCUUACGGUCAGCAGACGGUACCUGAGUAAGAAGCCCCGGCUAACUACGUGCCACCAGCCGCGGAAAUACGUAGGGGGCAAGCGUUAUCCGGAUUUACUGGGUGUAAAGGGAGCGUAGGCGGGGAGCCAAGUCUGGAGUGAAAUGCCGCAGCUUAACUGCGGUACUGCCUUGGAAACUGGCGAACUAGAGUGCGGGAGGGGUAAGCUGAAUGCGUAGUGUAGCGGUGAAAUGCGUAGAUAUUAGGAAGAACACCGAUGGCGAAGGCAGCUUACUGGACCGUAACUGACGUUGAGGCACGAAAGCGUGGGGAGCAAACAGGAUUAGAUACCCCUGUAGUC